AACGAACGCUGGCGGCAUGCCUAACACAUGCAAGUCGAACGAGACCUUCGGGUCUAGUGGCGCACGGGUGCGUAACGCGUGGGAACCUGCCCUUAGGUUCGGAAUAACUCCCCGAAAGGGGUGCUAAUACCGGAUAAUGUCUUCGGACCAAAGAUUUAUCGCCUUUGGAUGGGCCCGCGUUGGAUUAGCUAGUUGGUAGGGUAAAAGCCUACCAAGGCGACGAUCCAUAGCUGGUCUGAGAGGAUGAUCAGCCACACUGGGACUGAGACACGGCCCAGACUCCUACGGGAGGCAGCAGUGGGGAAUAUUGGACAAUGGGCGAAAGCCUGAUCCAGCAAUGCCGCGUGAGUGAUGAAGGCCUUAGGGUUGUAAAGCUCUUUUACCCGGGAUGAUAAUGACAGUACCGGGAGAAUAAGCUCCGGCUAACUCUGUG
Molecule: ribosomal RNA, 433 nt
Filed under: uncultured bacterium
Lineage: Bacteria
Description: partial 16S ribosomal RNA
Rfam family: Bacterial small subunit ribosomal RNA
Source: RNAcentral